RNAcentral lists this ribosomal RNA (328 nucleotides) under Salmonella enterica. RNAcentral's name for it is "bacterial SSU rRNA". It matches the Rfam family "Bacterial small subunit ribosomal RNA", at positions 1 to 325 of the family's 1533-position model. RNAcentral also lists the same sequence under 1 other name. Lineage: Bacteria; Pseudomonadati; Pseudomonadota; Gammaproteobacteria; Enterobacterales; Enterobacteriaceae. The record is from RNAcentral.
AAAUUGAAGAGUUUGAUCAUGGCUCAGAUUGAACGCUGGCGGCAGGCCUAACACAUGCAAGUCGAACGGUAACAGGAAGCAGCUUGCUGCUUUGCUGACGAGUGGCGGACGGGUGAGUAAUGUCUGGGAAACUGCCUGAUGGAGGGGGAUAACUACUGGAAACGGUGGCUAAUACCGCAUAACGUCGCAAGACCAAAGAGGGGGACCUUCGGGCCUCUUGCCAUCAGAUGUGCCCAGAUGGGAUUAGCUAGUUGGUGAGGUAACGGCUCACCAAGGCGACGAUCCCUAGCUGGUCUGAGAGGAUGACCAGCCACACUGGAACUGAGAC